CGCCUCUUGCACAACUAUAAGAGGUCCAGCCUGCCCAGUGACUCUGUUCAACGGCCGCGGUAUCCUAACCGUGCGAAGGUAGCGCAAUCACUUGUUCUUUAAAUAAGGACUAGUAUGAAUGGCAUCACGAAGGUUAUACUGUCUCCUUUCUCUAAUCAGUGAAACUAAUCUUCCCGUGAAAAAGCGGGAAUAACAAUAUAAGACGAGAAGACCCUAUGGAGCUUUAAACUAAGUAGCAAAUAUCUUUUACCUAUAACCUCAAGAACAAUCAAAAUCAACCAGAUAUUAUGACUACCAGUUUUAGGUUGGGGUGACCAUGGAGUACAAUUCAACCUCCAUGCUGAAUGACUUAAAAUCUAAGCCACGAACAACAUUUCUAAGCAUCAACAUCUUGACAUCUAUUGACCCAAUUUUUGAUCAACGAACCAAGUUACCCUAGGGAUAACAGCGCAAUCCACUUCAAGAGCUCAUAUCGACAAGUGGGUUUACGACCUCGAUGUUGGAUCAGGGUGUCCUAGUGGUGCAGCCGCUACUAAAGG
Molecule: ribosomal RNA, 539 nt
Filed under: Pseudopaludicola saltica (Chupada swamp frog)
Lineage: Eukaryota; Metazoa; Chordata; Amphibia; Anura; Leptodactylidae
Description: partial 16S ribosomal RNA
Rfam family: Bacterial large subunit ribosomal RNA
Source: RNAcentral